GAUGAACGCUGGCGGCGUGCCUAAUACAUGCAAGUCGAGCGAACGGACGAGACUCUUUCUUCUCUUCUGUUACCGACGGGCGGGUGAUUCACACGUGGCUAACCUACCUUUAAGACUGGCAUCACUUCGCGAACCCUGAUCUCACAUCCGUUAUUAUUUUGAACCUCAUGGUUCUACAGUCAACGCCGUUCUUGCUGUCCCUUAUACAUGUUUCCUCGCUGCAUUAGCUAGUUCGUACGGUAACGGCUUACCAAGGCAACUAUGCAUAGACGACCUGUGAGGGGGAACGGGCAAAAUGGAAAUGAGAAAAGGUCCAGAAUCCGAAGGGAGGGAGCAGGAGGGAAUAUUCGGCAAUGGGCGAAAGCCUGAUGGAGCAACGCCGCGUGAGUGAAGAAGGUCUUCGGAUCGUAAAACUCUGUUAGUAGGGAAGAACAGAAGUGUAAGUAAAUGUGCACAUCUUGACGGUACCUAAAGAGAAAGCAACGGCUAACUACGUG
Molecule: ribosomal RNA, 497 nt
Filed under: uncultured bacterium
Lineage: Bacteria
Description: partial 16S ribosomal RNA
Rfam family: Bacterial small subunit ribosomal RNA
Source: RNAcentral